Oryza sativa Japonica Group (Japanese rice) is the source of this 828-nucleotide non-coding RNA. NCBI's taxonomy places the organism in Eukaryota, Viridiplantae, Streptophyta, Magnoliopsida, Poales, Poaceae. The record is from RefSeq and is a predicted model, not a curated record.
AAUGUGUACCCCUAAGGGACUCAUGUGUAAAUAAAUUUCUAUAGGCGGUCCUCCUUAGGAACAGCUGAUGAAAAUCAAUUUCUAGAGAUGGCUCUACGCCUGUAUAUGGAAAUGUCUUUAUUUGUGCAUGUGCUUGGUUAGAGGCAAGCGGCUAAACCAUCUCUUGCAAUCGAUGCUAACCUUCUAGAAAAAAAUGUUGUCCGUGCAGUAGUGAAUUCGGCCAAGUAGAUGAAAAUGGGAUUCCAUGGUUGUCCAUUAAAGCAGUGGUACAUACACAGAGCAAGUGCUGCAGCAGUAAACAGUGCAGUAUUGUCAACCCCUAUGAACUCGACCCUUGAAGAAAACCAGUGGCCUUGUCCUUGCUCUUGUGCACGUCAAAUAAAUCCUUAAAAGUGAAGAAUAAAUUGUUUAAUAAUUCAGAGGGGCCUAAUACUGAGUUCAAGAGUUGAAGGGUAGGGUUUAUUUUAAAAGAAAAAAACAAGCAUGACAGUGAUAGAUCACGAAUCAGAAAGAGGAACUGAGGUGGAAUUCCUCCUCGUCGCUGCCAGAUGGAAUCAGGCAAUCGUCAAGGAAGGCGAAGGGAGGAAUCCAAUUUCCUCAUGAUGCCGCGUCUUGUGGUGAAUUGCGGGAAUGGCUUGAGGACGAGGUGUGGCAGUGAGGUUGCGGUAUCCAGAUCUUGAUGCAGGAGGAGGGCGGCGCACACGGAGAACACCGUCGGCACGGAGAACUAAUGUGCCCCUCUCUCUCUCUCUCUUCUCGUUCACAUUUAUACGUGAGCUGUUUUAGCGCCCUCAAGAAGGGUAUAAAAAUGUGAUAGUUUUUAAUUUA